AAAGCAGUGAUCUCCCCAUACCAAUCUUUCCCAGCCUAUCAUGGUGCCUGGGGGUCCAGUGAGCACCAGAGAAGUUCAUCGUCCAUCAGGAGAGGAGGAGGAUCAGUGACUGUAUCAUGGCUUCUGGCCCAGACCAACACUCCACUAACACAAACUUGUGGAUGCCUAUGCAGACACCACGGGAGGCCAGAUGGUAGGUGCCUGGCACAGGAGUAGGUGCCCCGGGAGGGCAUGUGCAGCUACUGUAAAUAGCCCUUGUCCCCACCCAGGAUGCCAACCAAGUCAACGAAGCCUCAUCUUUUUCACGGAGACAAAGGCUUCCAGGAGCCACAAAACCCUUCCCAGCAGGACAGCUUGUGAAGGCAGGAGCCUGCCCGGAAGACACAGACUAUCUCCGUUCAAACCACUCUAGGGGGACCGUUUUGCCCGGGGCUCCUAGCAAACUUUUUAUUUAUUAGAUUUAUUUAUUUUUUAUUUAUUUAUUAUUUAUGUGAUGAGCUCUCUUUCCUCACCAUUAGCGGC
RNAcentral lists this long non-coding RNA (522 nucleotides) under Rattus norvegicus (Norway rat). RNAcentral describes it as "long non-coding RNA NONRATT007594". Lineage: Eukaryota; Metazoa; Chordata; Mammalia; Rodentia; Muridae. The record is from RNAcentral.